Macaca mulatta (Rhesus monkey) is the source of this 1333-nucleotide non-coding RNA. The record is from RefSeq and is a predicted model, not a curated record. Lineage: Eukaryota; Metazoa; Chordata; Mammalia; Primates; Cercopithecidae.
UGUGAAUAUGGAACCCAUGGAUGUGGGGACCUACUGAUCUGUGAUAGUCAGUGGAUCUACAAGGUUUAUGGCUAGAAGUCCCACAAAAAGGGUCAGUUUUAGAGAUACUGGUUCUAUUAAAGUAACACCAGCUAUGGCAACAGAUAGACCAGAAUGUAUAUCAGCUCAAACUAAAUAGUUUUCCCUCAUUUCUGAGGUCAAUAUUCCUUGCUGGUGGAUGAUUUUGCACCAUGUGGUGAUUUGAAGACUAGGCCUUGUUCAGUUUACAGAUCCACUAUACCCUAAGGCUUUGUCAUAGUCAUGCACAGCCAGUGGAUAGGAAGGAGGGUUACAAAGCCUUGGACUAUAGGGGGCACUCAUCACUUCUGCUUCCUCUCCACUGGCUGUCUCUUAUACACAGCAUCACUCCUACUUGUAAAAAGCCUAUGGGAUAUGGGCCCAGAAGAAUUCGAUUUUUGAUGACUAGUCACUGUGCUCUUUUACUCACUAUAUAUCUGCUUGAGGGGACCACCCAAAGGCUCUUCAGAAGCAGUUUUCUCCAAUAAGUCCAGGUAUGGCUCUUUACGCUCUAAGACAAACAAACUAACAAGCAGAUUACCUGCCCCCUGCACCCUCCCUUCUACCAUUUAUGGUGCUCGGCAGAGACAGGAUAUCCACAAUAACAUCUCCCUUUCAGAACAGGAGGAACGCAGAGGUGUGUGAUCACAGACUCAGGUCAUGAUGACACCUGUCUCCGUGGGCAUGGCAAAGACUCCCUGAUUUGGCAGUGGAGAAAGGUUCUUAGUUGGACCCAGCAUCUGCUCUCUGGUAUCUCUGGAACUAACUGUCCUGUUCUCUGGUUUUCUCUAGGAGGUUCUCCUUUGCUCAUUAUUCUUCCUGGCCACAUCUGAAGUGGAUAUAGAUCAGGAAAUGGAAACACCGAGAAAUUAGGUAACUUGCUGACACUCAUACAACUAGUGAUAUGGACAGGAGACCAGGAAAUACUGGGUAGAAGAGAGCAGUUCCUAGGCAAAGACCCCACCCUCAAGCCUGUACACCCAUGGCCCUAAAUGAGAUCAGGCAUUCCUGUUUUUGUGCCCAAAAAGUUGCCUUUUGGCCUGCAAUGCCCCCUAUCCUGCACCCAUAUAAACCCUGAACAGCAGGCUUCAGAAACAGACCAGCAGACAGAUGGCAGAACGAUGCGGCAGAGAGAGAGAGAGAAGAGGAACAUCUGAACUCCAAAAGGAGUUCGGCUGUGGGGUGGUUGGAGAGGAGUCGGGCCUAGUCCCGCUCCCUAUCCAUCCCACUGAAAGCCACCUCCACCACUCAAUAAAACCUUGCAUUCAUCCUUCAA